Molecule: non-coding RNA, 22 nt
Filed under: Arabidopsis thaliana (thale cress)
Lineage: Eukaryota; Viridiplantae; Streptophyta; Magnoliopsida; Brassicales; Brassicaceae
Also listed under: 2 other names
Source: RNAcentral
CAGCGGGGAAAGAAGACCCUGU